Lutzomyia longipalpis is the source of this 1726-nucleotide long non-coding RNA. RefSeq lists it as uncharacterized. The record is from RefSeq and is a predicted model, not a curated record. Lineage: Eukaryota; Metazoa; Arthropoda; Insecta; Diptera; Psychodidae. The transcript has 3 exons.
UUCACACAAAAGUCCUCAUCAAAAAUGUUUUUUUUUAUUAUGUUUUUCUUAAGAUUUUUUUUUCUAAUAUUUCCCCUUCUGUUCAAAAUAGAAAAGGAAAAUGAGAAUGUGGCAGAGAAAUGUACGCCGAAAGGCAAGUUCAGAGCGAUUACCUCUGCGUAUGAUAUUAUUGCAUGUGCUCGAAAUUGCCGAGCCAUGAGGACAGUUCACGCUGCGAUCGACUCACCCACUCCACAUUAGUUGCCACACUUCGUAGAGUCAUGUUGAGAACCCGCAUCCCAGGACCAUAGCCGAAUCUCUCAACGAGAGAUUUUAACUGUGUGCAGAAGAAAAGAAUUUUCAUUGUAGUAAAAGGAAAAAUUUCUUUGAGAGAAAUUUCCAGUGACUCACCUCUUCAUAGUCGAAUUUUGUGGCACCAAAUUGUGUGAUUGCGGUGAUAACCUGGGCAAAUUGUUCACUGCCGGCACCCAGUUUUGCCUGCAAAUCAUUCCACUUGGCCUGCAAGAAACGACACGCCAUGGCGCCUCCAGUUGGAGUACCGGCGAUUGCUUCGAGGACCUGAAUCAAUUCGGGAGCUGGAAGAGUGAUCACCUGAGACAGAAGACGAUUCUGGAGCCUAAAAUUUAAUUAAAAAAGAAAACAAAAGGAAAUAUUAUAAUUAAAGAUUUAAUCAAUUGAGACAAUGAUUGAAAAUUAAACAGACUGUGGUAAUUGAACUGAGAAAAUCCGCAAUAUCGUUUGGUUAAAAAAUAAUUUAUCUGGAAAAGUUUUUGAUUUUCCAUCUCAGUUGCAAUAAAGUUUAAUUUUCAAAAUAAUUUUUAGGAUUAAUAUCGAUUUUUAUAUUUAUUUUUGAAUAUCUGUAAUACUAACGGGUCAUGAAAAAUCCCUCAAAUUAUAAUUACUCUUCUGGUCAAAAACUAUCUUUUAAUGACUUCCUUUGCAAAUUACUUUUUUUUUGCGACCCCAUCAGCCCGUUACCUGAAAUAAACCUGGCGGGACCUUGCUUUUAUAAAGAAGCAGAGUCACCAAAAUCAGUAGUAUUGCAACAGUCUCAAAGCAAAGACGUCCGAUAUUAUCCGUCAAAUACUCUUGCAAACAUUUUUUAUUAGUCAAAUAAAAUUUAAGCUGAAAUCACUGCAAUGGAUCUAACCAAAAAACUUUGUAUAAUAAUAAAGAUCAUAGCUAAAUAUCCCAGAGGAAUAUGCUAUGAGGACAUCGCAGAAAUCUACCAAACGACUGUAAAUGAGCCAAUGAACAUUUCAUACGAUGAUUUCUAUACUCAAAUGUGGAAGGACGACCGUGUUUCUUGGAAACCUGGGUGUCACUGCGGCCGAUUCUUAUAUAUGAUCGACACUGAAGACAUAGAAGACGUAAUGGAAUAUCAAUUGAUGCGGUUAAAUUUAAAAUAGAUUUUUAUAGAAAGUAUUAAUUGUUAAAAAAAAAUAAUAAAAUUUGUAUAUUUUAAUGGAUAAAGGGUGAAUCUUUGGCAUCAAUUUCCAAGAAGACAAUGAAAUUUUGAGUAAAGAAGUCAUAAAAAUUUCUUCUCGUGAACGCUAUUAAAACAGUGAGAUGACAUCACCAAUAGAUCUCACACAUUUAGUUAAUAAAUUCAAAUGACUUGCAUAAAAUAUUCUCAUAUGUAGAUGUGAUGAGAACUUUUAACAUGAAGAAUUUGUAAAAUAUUCUGAUGUAUUGUAUUCUCAUAAUAUAUUGUGCUGCUAAUAAA